Molecule: ribosomal RNA, 287 nt
Filed under: uncultured bacterium
Lineage: Bacteria
Description: partial 16S ribosomal RNA
Rfam family: Bacterial small subunit ribosomal RNA
Source: RNAcentral
GGAUUAGAUACCCUGGUAGUCCACGCCGUAAACGAUGAUUACUCGACAUUGGCGAUACACAGUCAGUGUUCAAGCGAAAGUGAUAAGUAAUCCACCUGGGGAGUACGUUCGCAAGAAUGAAACUCAAAGGAAUUGACGGGGGCCCGCACAAGCGGUGGAGCAUGUGGUUUAAUUCGAUGAUACGCGAGGAACCUUACCUGGGCUUAAAUGUAGAUUGACAGGACUGGAAACAGUUUUUUCUUCGGACAAUUUACAAGGUGCUGCAUGGUUGUCGUCAGCUCGUGCCG